AAUUGUGAUUGUUAUGUUUCUAUGCACCACUCUGAAGGAUUUGGGUUGACCUUGGCGGAAGCCAU
This 65-nucleotide small nucleolar RNA is filed under the name Gelidibacter algens. RNAcentral's name for it is "Small nucleolar RNA Me18S-Gm1358". Lineage: Bacteria; Pseudomonadati; Bacteroidota; Flavobacteriia; Flavobacteriales; Flavobacteriaceae. The record is from RNAcentral.